Molecule: transfer RNA, 87 nt
Filed under: Moneuplotes crassus
Lineage: Eukaryota; Ciliophora; Spirotrichea; Euplotida; Euplotidae
Description: tRNA-Sec
Rfam family: Selenocysteine transfer RNA
Source: RNAcentral
GCUUUGGUGACCCUAGACGGUUCUGGGUCAGGACUUCAAAUCCUGGGGUGCUGAAAGGCACAGGCGUUCGACUCGUCCUCCGGAGCG